This 103-nucleotide microRNA precursor is filed under the name Marmota monax (woodchuck). The record is from RNAcentral. Lineage: Eukaryota; Metazoa; Chordata; Mammalia; Rodentia; Sciuridae.
AGGUGAAUAGCUGGGUCAAAUGGUGGUUCCAUUCCCGGCUUUCCAAGGAAUCUCCAUACUUCUUUCCAAAUUGGCCAUACCAAUUUGCAGUCCCACCAGCAAU